UUGAUCAAAUGGGACGAGGUACUAUUUUUUCUGCACAUUAUUUCUCUCUAGACAUUGACCCAACACUACUAACUGUUAUAUUCACUUUUUUAGGUUCAUCCUGGAAAACCUUUUGAUGGUGAUGAUGCAGAGCAUAUGCAAUGGAUUUAUUCAGAGAUUGGCAAUGAUGCUUCUCAAUUUGUUGGUCCACUUGUAUUGAACCUGUUGAUAAAGGUAUGUUUCUCAUUCCAUGACUUCCCCCAUCGUUAACAUGACUAUUGAAGUGCAUUGAUGCGUUAACAUGACUAUUGAAGUGCAUUGAUCCUAGAACAUACUGUGCGAUUAUGCGUAUCUUAGCGCACCUUUAUUAUGUUCUUUGCACCAAUAUACUUUGUUUUUUCCUUUUCCGGUGUGAUGGUGAGAUCGACGUGGAGCUAAAGCACGUGAGGGAUGCUGUGGCGAAGAAAGGCCAGGCACUACACGAGGAGCAGGACAUGGUCAAGAAGGUCGCCCUUGCCACGCUCGACAUCCUCAGCGUCGGUGCUAGCCGUAGUGGACUCUCCUCCCGUGCGACCGCGGCAGCCAGCCACGGCCUGGCCCUAACAACUGUAGCAAGCAGCAGUCCCCGCUCGGCUGCCCCGGCACCUAGCCCCAGUAACUGUAGGCAGCGGCAGCGCGGUCGCCCCAGUGCCCUCCGCUCUCCCAACCGCCCUCCAAGACAAGUACGCUUCUAUGUUCUUAAAAAACUCUUCAUCGUAUCACAAAGCUCCCAGACACCACAUUGUUAAAUAGUACCUUAAAUUUC
Molecule: long non-coding RNA, 784 nt
Organism: Zea mays
Lineage: Eukaryota; Viridiplantae; Streptophyta; Magnoliopsida; Poales; Poaceae
Exons: 2
Source: RefSeq, a predicted model, not a curated record